AUGCAAAAGGAAAGCAACAUACGGGCGGUUCCUGAACAAUCACUUUCAAGUCACGUUAACUUGGCAGCUGCAAUUACGAAGGCUACGGAAAGAUGUCACGGAUGAAACCAACGCUGUAUUUGGUGUCUAUUCCAAAUGUCCAUAUACACGAUGAUGGCUGUUCCGGUGAAGUGUUGUUAGCGAUAGGAACGAAGAUAACGAUAUGCUUAAUGAGGUGAUUUGCGCGGAAGAUUUACAAUGUAGAGUCCAGUAAAAGCAGUUCAAUACCAACAGAAAACCAUCCGAAAUUCGGAUUCGAUCAUCGAACCCAUCUACUAGCGCGAAUUUCGAGCUACAUAUCAUCAACAUAUUGGCGAAAAUUAUUAAAAA
Molecule: long non-coding RNA, 369 nt
Organism: Aedes aegypti (yellow fever mosquito)
Lineage: Eukaryota; Metazoa; Arthropoda; Insecta; Diptera; Culicidae
Exons: 3
Source: RefSeq, a predicted model, not a curated record